RNAcentral lists this long non-coding RNA (199 nucleotides) under Volvox carteri. RNAcentral describes it as "long non-coding RNA (VCAR_LNC004058)". Lineage: Eukaryota; Viridiplantae; Chlorophyta; Chlorophyceae; Chlamydomonadales; Volvocaceae. The record is from RNAcentral.
AGAGCAGGAUAGAUAGAGAGUAUACGCACAGCACUUCAUAAGGUCCGCCCUUAGUGCUCCUACCUCUAGGCUCUAGGGAUCCGUUCCCAGCCCGUCCUCGCCAACUACGAUCGCGCUAAUCAAGUUAACGAAGCUGGAGUGAGCCAGCCAAGUCAAGCCGGAGCUUUAAGGAGAGCUCUUACUGUAUUGUAUAAUCAUC